RNAcentral lists this long non-coding RNA (410 nucleotides) under Bos taurus (domestic cattle). RNAcentral's name for it is "long non-coding RNA NONBTAT016882". Lineage: Eukaryota; Metazoa; Chordata; Mammalia; Artiodactyla; Bovidae. The record is from RNAcentral.
GGAAAGCAAGCUGCAGAAUACUAGUGCUGAUAACAACUACAGGUAGUAUUUGAAACAAAAAUAAAUGAGUUUUCAGCACUUAAGUGAAAUGAGGCUUUAAUCAAAAAGAGACUUAAUUCCACAGGGCGUCUUUUUUCAACAGUAAUUAAUUCAUUCAAGUCUGAUUUCAAGCUCAAGUGACAGUGUUAUGUUUGAAGCAAUUGAGAAAAGGCAAUCAACAUGUAAGUGGUAUAAUACAGUAUGUACUAGAUUUGGGGGCAAUCUCUAACUGCAUUCAAUUUUUAGACCUUGUUUUGGAGUCUAAUUAAACAAGAACUAGAGCUCUGACCCCACUUGGAGGAAUGCAGUGAAAUUGCCUUGUCUUGGCACAAGGCACGUUACAACAUCGACGCUCUUUAAUCAAUCAGCUA